Molecule: long non-coding RNA, 708 nt
Filed under: Equus caballus (horse)
Lineage: Eukaryota; Metazoa; Chordata; Mammalia; Perissodactyla; Equidae
Description: lncRNA (ENSECAG00000050274.1)
Source: RNAcentral
CAAGAGUCCAGAAAUUGCCUUUCCCUCUAGUGUGGUGGUGCUGAGGACAUUCUGUUUAGAGGAUUCAAAAGAAGUCGUUUGUAAAUGCCAGUGACGGCGGCUUUGGCCUGCGAGCACCGCCGGUUGGGGGAGCUGAUUCCUUUCCUCUUCUCCUCGUGAAGAGCCAGCUCCAGCCUCGUCAGAAUAGAGUCGACAGAGCCAAUUCAUUUUCACUGGUUUUAUCACCAGGACAUUAGCAAGAAGACUCCACUAGGAAUUUCCUAAUGGAAGCGCCCCAACUCUUCUGCUCAGCUCUCAGGAAGGGGAAGGCAUAACAUCAGUUAUCCUUCCGAGAUGAAAGGAGAUUUUGAUGUGCGUCUUCACACCCUUCUGUAAGAUGCUACUUACUUCGUCUACCUGCUGAUCCCUAGGAUUUAAAGCUCUACUUAGCGCCGAAGCCGGACCUGGGGAGCUGUGGGAAGCUCCCGUCCUGAAGCAGUGUGAUGUCAUCUCUGAAUGGAAAAGAAAGAGAAAGAAAUCAGCCUCUAAGCUGCAAAAUGCACCAAGACAAGAAGUGAGGUGCAGGCAAGGAGAGCACCCUCUGGCUGCGUGGGGCUCGCCAUUCAUUGCAGUCACUGGAUGGAUGCUGGAGGGCUGAGACGCUGCUCCCAGCUGCAGUCCCGACCCCACGCUGGAGGCUGGUCUUCCCACGGCCUGCAGACCUUUCAG